This 232-nucleotide ribosomal RNA is filed under the name uncultured bacterium. Its description in RNAcentral is "partial 16S ribosomal RNA". It matches the Rfam family "Bacterial small subunit ribosomal RNA", at positions 15 to 258 of the family's 1533-position model. The record is from RNAcentral.
GAUCAUGGCUCAGGAUGAACGCUGACAGAAUGCUUAACACAUGCAAGUCUACUUGAACUUCGGUUUGGGUGGCGGACGGGUGAGUAACGCGUAAGAACUUGCUCACAGUUAGGGACAACAUUUGGAAACGAAUGCGUAAUACCUGAUAUUAUGAUUUUAGGGCAUCCUAAGAUUAUGAAAGCGUAUAUGCGCUGUGAGAGAGCUUUGCGUCCCAUUAGCUAGUUGGAGAGGG